Molecule: ribosomal RNA, 484 nt
Filed under: uncultured bacterium
Lineage: Bacteria
Description: partial 16S ribosomal RNA
Rfam family: Bacterial small subunit ribosomal RNA
Source: RNAcentral
AUUGAACGCUGGCGGCAGGCCUAACACAUGCAAGUCGAGCGGAUGAAGGGAGCUUGCUCCUGGAUUCAGCGGCGGACGGGUGAGUAAUGCCUAGGAAUCUGCCUGGUAGUGGGGGAUAACGUCCGGAAACGGGCGCUAAUACCGCAUACGUCCUGAGGGCGCAAGUGGGGGAUCUUCGGACCUCACGCUCUCAGAUGAGCCUAGGUGGGAUUAGCUAGUUGGUGGGGUAAAGGCCUACCAAGGCGACGAUCCGUAACUGGUCUGAGAGGAUGAUCAGUCACACUAGAACGGGGACACGGUCCAGACGCCUACGGGAGGCAGCAGUGGGGAAUAUUGGACAGUGGGCGGAAGCCUGAUCCAACCAUGCCGCGUGUGUGAAAGAGGUCUUCGGAUUGUAAAGCACUUUAAGUUGGGAGGAAGGGCAGUAAGUUAAUACCUUGCUGUUUUGACGGUACCAACAGAAGAAGCACCGGCUAACUUCGUG